Molecule: ribosomal RNA, 497 nt
Filed under: uncultured bacterium
Lineage: Bacteria
Description: partial 16S ribosomal RNA
Rfam family: Bacterial small subunit ribosomal RNA
Source: RNAcentral
GACGAACGCUGGCGGCGUGCCUAAUACAUGCAGGUCGAACGCUGAAGAGAGGAGCUUGCUCUUCUUGGAUGAGUUGCGAACGGGUGAGUAACGCGUAGGUAACCUGCCUUGUAGCGGGGGAUAACUAUUGGAAACGAUAGCUAAUACCGCAUAACAAUGGAUGACCCAUGUCAUUUAUUUGAAAGGGGCAAAUGCUCCACUACAAGAUGGACCUGCGUUGUAUUAGCUAGUAGGUGAGGUAACGGCUCACCUAGGCGACGAUACAUAGCCGACCUGAGAGGGUGAUCGGCCACACUGGGACUGAGACACGGCCCAGACUCCUACGGGAGGCAGCAGUAGGGAAUCUUCGGCAAUGGGGGCAACCCUGACCGAGCAACGCCGCGUGAGUGAAGAAGGUUUUCGGAUCGUAAAGCUCUGUUGUAAGUCAAGAACGAGUGUGAGAGUGGAAAGUUCACACUGUGACGGUAGCUUACCAGAAAGGGACGGCUAACUACGUG